RNAcentral lists this ribosomal RNA (497 nucleotides) under uncultured bacterium. Its description in RNAcentral is "partial 16S ribosomal RNA". It matches the Rfam family "Bacterial small subunit ribosomal RNA", at positions 28 to 507 of the family's 1533-position model. The record is from RNAcentral.
GACGAACGCUGGCGGCGUGCCUAAUACAUGCAAGUUGAGCGCUGAAGGUUGGUACUUGUACCGACUGGAUGAGCAGCGAACGGGUGAGUAACGCGUGGGGAAUCUGCCUUUGAGCGGGGGACAACAUUUGGAAACGAAUGCUAAUACCGCAUAAAAACUUUAAACACAAGUUUUAAGUUUGAAAGAUGCAAUUGCAUCACUCAAAGAUGAUCCCGCGUUGUAUUAGCUAGUUGGUGAGGUAAAGGCUCACCAAGGCGAUGAUACAUAGCCGACCUGAGAGGGUGAUCGGCCACAUUGGGACUGAGACACGGCCCAAACUCCUACGGGAGGCAGCAGGAGGGAAUCUUCGGCAAUGGACGAAAGUCUGACCGAGCAACGCCGCGUGAGGGAAGAAGGUUUUCGGAUCGUAAAACUCUGUUGGUAGAGAAGAACGUUGGUGAGAGUGGAAAGCUCAUCAAGUGACGGUAACUACCCAGAAAGGGACGGCUAACUACGUG